This 1042-nucleotide long non-coding RNA is filed under the name Calidris pugnax (ruff). RNAcentral describes it as "lncRNA (ENSCPUG00000016619.1)". Lineage: Eukaryota; Metazoa; Chordata; Aves; Charadriiformes; Scolopacidae. The record is from RNAcentral.
AUGUUGAAGAACUUACUCCUUUUAACCCAGACCCGCUGUUUGAAGGUCGCGUUUGCCAUCAUCACCGCGCUACGCCUCCAGCAACAGCCUAGAGAAAGGUGUGACAAUUCCAGGAUGAAGGACACUGUCUUUCUGAGAGUUCAGCCAGAGGCUGGGAAGCAUCCGUGCUUCCUCCACGCUGUGGGAUGGAACGUCAUUGAGAUGGCCCACACCACUGAGCUGAGUGAUGGCAAAAACACACUUCCAACACCAGGUGCGUGGGAUUUUGGGCACCGCUGUGGUGAUACCUCAACGAGAUAUUUCUGUAGGAGGUGCAGCUUGUUGCCAGAGUGCAAGAAAACGUCGUCACCGACGGCCAGGAGUCAGCCCGGGAGCAGUAAAUGAGCGAGGGGCUCAGGCCCCUGGUCUAGGAGAAGAGUAAAAAAGGAGCGUGGCUGCAGCACAGGGGACACCAGUGGUCCUUGUGCUCCUGCCUGGAGCAAAAGCAAACAAGUCCCUCGCUAGCGGACCUCGCCAAAGCUCAAAGUAUAAUGCUAGAAGGAAAAAUAAGUUUUACAGAAUUGAGCAUAUACAACCCUUUUUUUUUCCCUUCAUAAACGGUACGUUACAGUAGUUGCAACUACCGAAGUGUUUACAGUAUGCUAUAUAUAUAUAAUGGCACAUUUAAGCUUUUUCAAGGGAUUGGAACAUUUCAGGAAUGUCUCUGGUGCUGAAAAAGGCUAAUGUAUUACAAAUCAUAUAAUAUUUUAAUUCAGAAAAAAUACGUUUGGGUAUUUUGCCCUAGCAUGGGAAGGGUUAGGAAACCGAAGGCGGGUGCCGUGAAGCAUGACUGACGCCUCAGUCGAGCUCGUCUGCUUCAGAUACACGUUGUGCAAGGCAUUAUCGCUGCGAUCUGUCACAAAAAAUGCAUAUUUAGUUUUGUACAUUAAAUACUACACCUGUGAGCCUAUGUAAAAGAUAUACAAAAUAUAAAUGUCAUCAGGACCGUAUAUUUCAAACUUUUUAAAAUAAACACAAAGUAUAUAUAUUUAUGUUGGCGUAU